This 253-nucleotide ribosomal RNA is filed under the name uncultured bacterium. RNAcentral describes it as "partial 16S ribosomal RNA". It matches the Rfam family "Bacterial small subunit ribosomal RNA", at positions 524 to 776 of the family's 1533-position model. The record is from RNAcentral.
UACGUAGGUGGCAAGCGUUGUCCGGAUUUAUUGGGUUUAAAGGGUGCGUAGGUUGUGUUGUAAGUCAGUGGUGAAAUCCGGCAGCUUAACUGUCGAUGUGCCAUUGAUACUGCAGCACUUGAGUACAGACGAGGUAGGCGGAAUUGACGGUGUAGCGGUGAAAUGCUUAGAUAUCGUCAAGAACACCGAUAGCGAAGGCAGCUUACUAGACUGUAACUGACACUGAUGCACGAAAGUGUGGGGAUCAAACAGG